Molecule: ribosomal RNA, 361 nt
Filed under: Laminapinnixa miamiensis
Lineage: Eukaryota; Metazoa; Arthropoda; Malacostraca; Decapoda; Pinnotheridae
Description: partial 12S ribosomal RNA
Source: RNAcentral
UAUUAUUCCAAGAUAAAUUUUUACUGAGGUUAGUAAUAGAUAUUUACUUAAAAGCUAAAAAAUUUGGCGGUAAUUUAAUCUUUCCAGAGGAACUUGUUUUUUAAUCGAUAAACCGCGAAUUAUUCUACUUGCUUUAGUAAAGUUUGUAUACCGUCAUUAUCAGGUAAUUUUAAAAAAAUAAAUUUCUUAACUUAAAAGUUUAUAAAAAUUAGAUCAUGGUGCAGCUUAUGAGUGAGUUAAAAUGAGUUACAAUAAAUUAUUUUAUACGGAUUAUUAGGAGAAAUCUUAAUUUGAAGGAGGAUUUGGUAGUAUUCUAAGUUUAGUACGCUUAGUAGAUGUCAGCUCUAAAUUAUGUACAUAU